AUUAGUUUGAGGCUUUUGUGAUGGUGGAACAACAAGUUUUCUUGGUGCAUCCUCAACACUAACGGAGGAGUCGGAUCGUGAGAAGUUGCGUCUAGAAAGAGUUGGCUGAGAUGCAUCCUUAGGCGUAGUGGCAGGGGGGUCAUUAUGUUCAGGCAUCUUGAGGCUUUCAGAUUUCCAUCUGCGUUGCCUCUUUAAAGGCUCAGCACUUUCAACAGCAUCUUGAUCGUUAAGCUUUCUUUUCUCAGCAGGCACAGCAGGAAGAGUUUUAUUCUCAACAUUCAUUUCC
This 286-nucleotide unclassified non-coding RNA is filed under the name Hevea brasiliensis (rubber tree). Lineage: Eukaryota; Viridiplantae; Streptophyta; Magnoliopsida; Malpighiales; Euphorbiaceae. The record is from RNAcentral.